GAUGAACGCUGGCGGCGUGCCUAAUACAUGCAAGUCGAGCGAACAGACGAGGAGCUUGCUCCUCUGACGUUAGCGGCGGACGGGUGAGUAACACGUGGAUAACCUACCUAUAAGACUGGGAUAACUUCGGGAAACCGCAGCUAAUACCGGAUACUAUCUUGAACCGCAUGGUUCAAUCGUGAAAGACGCUUUUGCUGUCACUUAUAGAUGGAUCUGCCCCGCAUUAGCUAGUUGGUAAGGUAACGGCUUACCCAGCCGACGAUGCGUAGCCGACCUGAGAGGGUGAUCGGCCACACUGGAACUGAGACACGGUCCAGACUACUACGGGAGGCAGCAGUAGGGAAUCUUACGCAAUGGGCGAAAGCCUGACGGAGCAACGGCGAGUGAGUGAUGAAGGUCUUCGGAGCGGAAAACUCUGUUAUGAGGGAAGAACAAAUGUGUAAGUAACUAUGCACGUAUUGACGGUACCUAAUCAGAAAGCCACGGCUAACUACGUG
Molecule: ribosomal RNA, 497 nt
Filed under: uncultured bacterium
Lineage: Bacteria
Description: partial 16S ribosomal RNA
Rfam family: Bacterial small subunit ribosomal RNA
Source: RNAcentral